CAGGAAGUUAUAAAGGAAACAGGAAGUGCAGGGUUCUUUCUUUGAUCUUCAAGGCUGCCCACAGCAGGCAGCAACAGCAGUGUGCAGCUCCUGCAAUUGAAAGACAAUGUUUCGAUUUAGUUUGGACCAACAAAGACAAUCGUCAUAGCAAAGCAUGCACAGUUGACGGCGAGCUCCUCCAGCC
Molecule: non-coding RNA, 184 nt
Organism: Labrus bergylta (ballan wrasse)
Lineage: Eukaryota; Metazoa; Chordata; Actinopteri; Labriformes; Labridae
Source: RefSeq, a predicted model, not a curated record